This 370-nucleotide ribosomal RNA is filed under the name uncultured bacterium. RNAcentral's name for it is "bacterial SSU rRNA". It matches the Rfam family "Bacterial small subunit ribosomal RNA", at positions 566 to 930 of the family's 1533-position model. The record is from RNAcentral.
GGCGCGUAGGUGGUUUGAUAAGGGUGUGGUGAAAGCCCGGGGCUCAACCCCGGGUCUGCCGUGCCGACUGUUAAACUCGAGGGCUGUAGAGGCAGACGGAAUUCCGGGUGUAGCGGUGGAAUGCGUAGAGAUCCGGAGGAAGACCGGUGGCGAAGGCGGUCUGCUGGGCAGUUUCUGACACUGAUGCGCGACAGCGUGGGGAGCAAACAGGAUUAGAUACCCUGGUAGUCCACGCCGUAAACGAUGGGUACUAGGUGCCUGGGGGGAGCGACCCCUCUGGGUGCCGGCGCUAACGCAGGAAGUACCCCGCCUGGGGGAGUACGACCGCAAGGUUGAAACUCAAAGGAAUUUGACGGGGGGCCGCACAAGC